GGUGGUUCUCAGAUGAUGCACCCCAGAAUCAGGCUCCCUCCUCUCUGGUUCUGGGUGCGUUACCUGAGAACCGCA
Molecule: non-coding RNA, 75 nt
Organism: Myotis lucifugus (little brown bat)
Lineage: Eukaryota; Metazoa; Chordata; Mammalia; Chiroptera; Vespertilionidae
Source: Rfam